Molecule: long non-coding RNA, 1843 nt
Organism: Esox lucius (northern pike)
Lineage: Eukaryota; Metazoa; Chordata; Actinopteri; Esociformes; Esocidae
Exons: 2
Source: RefSeq, a predicted model, not a curated record
ACAAUAGGUGGCAGUAAUGCACAAAUAUUUUUGAAUGCCAACCGCGGUAAAAACAGAGCAAGCCAAACAAUUAGUUAUUGAGGUGAAUAAAAAAAAAAACACUAUGCCGAGGGGAAAGGAGAUCUCUGAGGACAUCAGGACGGAAGUAGUGAGAGCACAUCAGUCUGGGGAAGGCUAUACAAAAAUCUCAAAGAAAUUUGAUCUCCAUCAGUCCACCGUGAGGCAAAUUAUUUAUAAAUGGAGAGAAUUUAACAUGACAGCAACUCUGCCUAGAAGUGGACGCCCAUCCAAAAUAACCCCAAGAGCCACAAGAAAAAUAAUAAAUCAGGUAAAUGCCAACCCAAACAUAACAUCUGGUGAUUUGCAGACCUCCCUUGCUGCAUCUCAGGUUAUUGUGCAUGCUUCAACAAUAAGAAGAACACUGAAUCGACAUGGCAUUCAUGGAAGGGUUGCUAGGAAGAAGCCUCUGAUGUCAAAAAAGGGCCAAACUGCCCAUCUUAACUUGGCCAAAGACCACCUGGGCAAACCUAAAGGUUUCUGGAAGUCCAUUCUCUGGACACGGUAUGUUUGGCGAAAACCCAACAAUGCCUGCCACCAAAAUAACCUUAUUCCAACAGCCAAGCUGUUUUCUAGACCACCUAAGGCGAGACCUAGUCAAAACCAAGACCGGAGCAAGUUGAGUCAGAUUGAAGACCAAGACCGAAGGGGGGGCAAGACCAAGAGGAUACUGGGACAGCAGGGAAAGGAGCGAGUCCAAGUUAAGACAGAGCCCGAGACUGAAGGUUGGGCAAAACCAAGGCCGGGGAAGAUCAAGUCCAAUUCAAGACUAUGAUUAUAAAUGUUUCACUCCACCCCAAUAGUAGUUUUUCAAAUGUUUAUCUAUAAAGCUGUUUUGCACAAAUCACCACUAUGUAACCUAUGUAUUUACAUAGAGCAGAAGCAGUUCUUGCCAGACAGCCUUUGAAUUGGCUAGACCUAGUGGUCCUUUAAGUGUCUUUUUUACUGACUUGCUCUUCUCAUCUCUCCCUAUCAUUGGUUCAUCCACAAGGUAGAGGUGCAACAUGUUAAUAUUUAUUAUAUAUACAUAUAAAAUCACUUAUUCUGGCCCUUUUAAAAUUCAAGUUUGUUCAUCAUAGAGAUUGUUUAAAUGUACCAUAAUAGAUGUACCAUAAUAGUAGUCCUGGUCUUUGGUUUGUCAGUCUGUUUGGUAGUUUAUGGUCUCAUCAAAUCCAUUAAUUUCACCUGUAUCAGUUUAUUAUUGUAUGUCUUCAUUUGUUACCACUUCUUUCUCUGUAACCAUAUAACUAUCUUGUCAUAGUGUAAUAAUAAUAAUUUCUAUGUGUCCUACUUUUUUUACUAUCCAUUAAAUUGUUCUUAUGUACAUCUCUUUCCUAUAUAUGCCUUAUGUGAAGUUAUAUCAUGUAAUUUGACGAUUGUUUUUUGCUCAUGUUCUAUGUACACAUGUCUCUGUUUCUGUGUGCUAGACCAAAUAUAAUGCAUUAGUUGUUCAGGCUUGACAGAUUAUGUAAAACAGACACUACCAGGUGGCACCAAGGAAGGCAUAGAUUGGAAUGUGCCUACUGAUAAUGUGAUUGGCUAAGUUCAUUAUAACAAUGUUCUAGUGUUAUAACAGGCACUUUUGUCUUUUCCCUCUGCUUCUCUGCAUGGCUCCUUGCUCUUACCAUCUCCAGUCUCCGGGAGACUUAUAUCUUUGAUAAUUGUAAUGCAAUUGUAUGCCCUCAUAACUUAUUGCCACCUCAAAUCUAAUAACUGCAAUCUCCGUACUCGUAAUGCAAUUGUAUUCUCUCGUAUACAAAGUAUUGGAUUAAAUAUGUUACAUUCA